Molecule: long non-coding RNA, 541 nt
Filed under: Oryza sativa (Asian cultivated rice)
Lineage: Eukaryota; Viridiplantae; Streptophyta; Magnoliopsida; Poales; Poaceae
Description: long non-coding RNA (OSAT_LNC000147)
Source: RNAcentral
CGCGCCGUUUGCGUCGCCGGCCUCGCCGCGCGUUGCCGAACCCCGUCCACCGCUCCGCUUCUGCAAUAAACCACCCGGGCGCCGGUUUCACCGUGCACCCGAGCCACAGCCGCCUCUCGUCUCCUCCAGUCGCUCGCCACCGCCACUCGCGUCGCUGCCACGCUGCGCCACCACCGUCGAAAGCUUCGUCGUGCCUCGCCGCACCCCGGCAUCCGAUUCGUUUCCCUAAAUCGCCACCGCAACCACCCCUCCACCGUCGACCCGAGCCACCACCUCCGUUUGUCGACUGCAGCCGCGUCGUCCCACUGCUUUGGUCGUCGCCAACCCACGUCGUCGCCUCCCUCGGCUCCGCAAGGACGAGGAGGUCCUCGGCCACCACUCCCCGUCACCCGAAUCCUGCCGGAACUCCACCUUCAUCGCACACCGGUGAGCACCCGCUAGUCUUCUUUCUUCCGGCCGGUGAUUCACGCCGCCGGGUGUCUCCUCGUGCCCUCCUAAUCCCGCCAUCCCCUUCCCCAGGUCCUGCUGGCGCUCGGUCGUC